UGGAAAUGGACCAAAGAAACUGCCAACAGCUCUUUCUGUGUCUAAUACCCAUCACACAAUGCAACAUUGUUUGUCAAGCUGUUGGGUUCUUUAUCUGGGUGGGCCUUGGAAGUUAAAUAUAUGUAAAUACAUUAUCUAACUAUCUAUCUGUAUAUAUGCAUGCUAUAUGUAUAUAUAUAUUAUCUUUACAUAAUGUUUUAAUAUGUAGAUGAGGCUAGUGGAAGAUAAUUUCUCAAUUCCCUGUAAUAUGAGGAUAAUAUUAAUUCAUACUGCAAAGGCUAGAAUGAUACAAUGGAUUAAUGCAUGGAAUAACUUAGUACCAGUAUAUAGCUCAAUAUGCUUUUACUACCAUUAUUAAGCAUUAUAGAUGUAAACUUAUGUUUUUGGUUACCCUAAAACUCAUUUUAUAGAGCUUGGCCCCUCUCUUGCCUUGCUUUGGCUUUUUUUGGUGGUAUUUAUCUGUAAACUCUAUUUAGCAUAUAUUUCAGGGACACAUGUUGAUGGUGGAGGUAACUGAUCUACCUGAGUAUUCAGAUCUAUCUGCCAACACUGAGAAGAAAACCGAGGAGGGCUGCAACGUGGCUGUCAUGUGUUCCAGGUUCUGGGAUGUGCUCCAUGUGUCUUCUCCUUCUGGAUCUCAGGCUAAAGAAGCAGCCCCACUCUGGGCCAUCCCUGUCCUCACAGCAGAGGGGAAGAGUGAGCAGCUGAACCAAAACCACACCGUCACAUUUAAAGCAUUAGCUUGGACAGAUGGAACAUCUGCUCAUAUUCCAUUGCUCAGCACAAGUCACUCGGCCAAGCCCAACAUUGCUAUGGCAGGGAUGUGUACCCCACCCAGGGCAGAAGGGGAGAGUUAUCUACCAUAAUCUCCAGCAACAUUUGGUGUAUCCAUCCUUUCUAACUUUUCAAGAGGCAAGGACAUGUGCAUAUACACACAAAAUAUACUUUCUAAAAAUGGGAUGAUUCGUGCUAUAAAAUUACUUGCCUAAAUGCUUUUUUUUGAUGGACAGUUUUAUAAGUCAAUAUGUAUUCUUACAUCUGCAUUUUGAUUGGAUACAUAAUAUUCCACUUUAUAGAUAUGCAUGGACAUCCUUGUGCAUAUAUCUUUGAACACAUAAUUAAGAUCCAUUACUACAAGUAGAAUUACUGGGGCAUUCAGAUCUCACAUUUUCAAGGCUUCUGGUGAAUAUUACAAUUUACACUCCUAAAAAUGACAAUCCUCACUUAAAAUAAAAAUGUAUUGACUUUUCA
RNAcentral lists this long non-coding RNA (1251 nucleotides) under Vulpes vulpes (red fox). Its description in RNAcentral is "lncRNA (ENSVVUG00000018872.1)". The record is from RNAcentral. Lineage: Eukaryota; Metazoa; Chordata; Mammalia; Carnivora; Canidae.